This 497-nucleotide ribosomal RNA is filed under the name uncultured bacterium. RNAcentral's name for it is "partial 16S ribosomal RNA". It matches the Rfam family "Bacterial small subunit ribosomal RNA", at positions 28 to 507 of the family's 1533-position model. The record is from RNAcentral.
GAUGAACGCUGGCGGCGUGCCUAAUACAUGCAAGUCGAGCGAACAGACGAGGAGCUUGCUCCUCUGACGUUAGCGGCGGACGGGUGAGUAACACGUGGAUAACCUACCUAUAAGACUGGGAUAACUUCGGGAAACCGGAGCUAAUACCGGAUAAUAUAUUGAACCGCAUGGUUCAAUAGUGAAAGACGGUUUUGCUGUCACUUAUAGAUGGAUCCGCGCCGCAUUAGCUAGUUGGUAAGGUAACGGCUUACCAAGGCAACGAUGCGUAGCCGACCUGAACGGGUGAUCGGCCACACUGGAACUGAGACACGGUCCAGACUCUGACGGGAGGCAGCAGUCGGGACUCUUCCGCAAUGGGCGAGAGCCUGACGGUGCAACGCCGCGUGAGUGAUGAAGGUCUUCGGAUCGUAAAACUCUGUUAGUAGGGAAGAACAAAUGUGUAAGUAACUAUGCACGUCUUGACGGUACCUAAUCAGAAAGCCACGGCUAACUACGUG